Molecule: ribosomal RNA, 253 nt
Filed under: uncultured bacterium
Lineage: Bacteria
Description: partial 16S ribosomal RNA
Rfam family: Bacterial small subunit ribosomal RNA
Source: RNAcentral
UACGAAGGGGGCUAGCGUUGCUCGGAAUUACUGGGCGUAAAGGGCGCGUAGGCGGUACUUCAAGUCAGGCGUGAAAGCCCCGGGCUCAACCUGGGAACCGCGCUUGAGACUGGAGAACUAGAGUUCGGGAGAGGAUGGUGGAAUUCCCAGUGUAGAGGUGAAAUUCGUAGAUAUUGGGAAGAACACCGAUGGCGAAGGCAGCCAUCUGGACCGACACUGACGCUGAGGCGCGAAAGCUAGGGUAGCAAACGGG